AUUAGUUAUCCAUUUUAACAGCUGAUGAGAGUAGACUUGAUCCAGGAAUCAAAGAAGAAGUUGUUUCCUGGUAGAGAAACUUCCAGACCUUUCAGAAGGGAGUCAAAGAAAAUGCAGCGAGAAGUAAGGCCUGGGCCGUUUUACGUCAUGAUAUGGGAGAAUAGAUAUCUCCACAGUCUUUAAGAAAUACAUGGUCAGGGCCAUUGGGUCCUGGAAACACUGUGUGUUUUUCAGGUUGGAACAGCCGUGGAUGGUGAAUCGUCCUUGCCUCUGAGAAAUGAAUCUCUCAAGCUGUGUCUAUGCGGUAUUAAGUGAAAGGAUUAUCUGGAAAUUGUCCAGUUUGGAGUGAAGAACGAGAUCAUGCCUGGAUAACGGAAGUCUCAAGGUGAACAUCUGGAGUCUGACAGUUUCCACAGUUGAAGUCAACCCAACAGAUUUCAUGUCAGCCCAGAAGCCUCUGUGCUUAGAAGUGGACUUGGCUGUCUCUCAGUGUUUAACAUGUGUUCAGUUCCCCUUAAGCUGUCCCAGCCCUCGGAGCAGCCAGGUGUUUCAGAAUCUUGUCGAGAAAACCCAGCGAGUAACAGAUCUUCCAGAGGCGGGAAUCCUGCCGGGUCAGGGCUGACCCUGCACUUGGGGAGCCCAGGACAGUCCCCGGGAGGGGCAAGCGCCCCCUGCUGUGGGCCUGUCUCCUUACUGGGGUGCCCUUGACCUUGGUGGUCUGUCCCGUCCCCUCCCACCGCCACUCCCACCAGCAGGAGGCCUAUUUAGCAGGUCUCCACGUUUUAUCUGCCUUCGCUGCUUUCUAGCCCUAAUUUAAGAAUUGAAGCUUGCCCCCGUCCGUUAGCACUUUUGGGUUCUGUUUUCCUAAAAUGCUUCUCCAGAUGGCUUAUCCAUCAACCCUACCUGAUGAUUAGGUUUCCGCUGUUUUCCUGCUGCUUCAUCUUCUUUCCUCUGGAAGAGCUCGGUCUCGUUACCUCUCACCCUUGGAGUUCACUGUCCGUCCUUCGGGAAAACGGUACCAUCAGUGUCUUUGUGGCUUUGGAUGCUCACAGCUUGAGAUGGGGAUGGAAAUCCAGCCCACUCGGUGUCGUGAGCACGGCCCCCUUCCCCAUGGCUGGCAUCCUGGCUGUGACUCACCCCCACCCGUUAUCCUAAACCCACCCACCCUUUUCUUCCUGCUGUCUCCUGUCUGGAUGUGAAUCCCCAUAGCCUCCAGGCUGGUCUCCACACUCAGAUUCCACCCACCCCAGGACAUUUGCUGCAAUGCUAGCGGGAAAAACGAGCUUUCUAAAACUCAUCCUGAGCAUGUGAUUCUUCUGCCUAAAAUUCUUCAAUGGCUUGCAACCGGGCAAAUUCUAAAAUCCUUCUCAUGACAUCUGAAACCUUUGAGAACUGAAUUUCUGCCCGUGUCUCGGUUCCACACUAGAGCUGGCGGCCCCUGGGGACCUUCCUGCAGGGCCUGUGGGGUCUGCCUGCUUGGGGACCCCGACCCUGUCACUGGGAGGCCUCCCAUGACACCCCUACUCUGUCCCUUUAGAGAACCUAACAUGAGAUUUUUUUGCAUCAUGUACUGUAGUGGAUUAUUGUUUGUCUGAAUUUCCUGUUAGAAUCUAGACACGGAGCCCUGUGGGAAUGGACCAUCUCUCUUUAUAUUGGAUUUGUUUUUGCCUGUUUAACACAUAGUAAAUUCUCAAAACUUUUAGUGGAUUAAUAAUACAUUUGUGGGGGCUU
Balaenoptera musculus (blue whale) is the source of this 1731-nucleotide long non-coding RNA. RefSeq lists it as uncharacterized. Lineage: Eukaryota; Metazoa; Chordata; Mammalia; Artiodactyla; Balaenopteridae. The transcript is spliced from 3 exons. The record is from RefSeq and is a predicted model, not a curated record.